CAGCAAUGAGUGUGUGCAAGAGUGUGUGAGCACACCUCAGACAGCAUGGCGUACUGCCCCCUCCUGGCCAUGCCGAUGGUGAGCAGAUCAUAGACAGAGGUGGCAUCCUGCAGACUGGCCUGGCGAGCCUCGGCCUGGUCAGGCAGACGACUGAUCACCGCUUCGCCACUGGCCUGGAUGAAGAGAGAGACGGAGAGUGAUGAAGAGGAGGGGGAAAGAGAACAGUGUGUGUGUGUGUGUAGCUCACCAUUGACUCUGUGAUGAGCAGCAGCAACAAUGCCUCUUCCACCACGUCCUGAGGACAGAAGCAACUACCAGGACACAGGAAACAGGAAAUGCUCUGUGUCCUGUUCAAGGACACAUUUGCCAGACACCAUACUGGGCUAUUCACUAGAGGCAACGAUGACAAAAGCCACGGACAAUAAUGAAGAGUACAACUGUUCCUGGGGGUGAAUUCUCCUGUUCAACCUCUCCUUCUAAUCUCAGACAUGGAUUUAGAUCUUCACUUGUGAUAGUGUGGGCAGGAUUAGUCAUGUGGCGGUGACUAAGUAUGGCUCACAGGGCCUGAACAACGAGUGCAGGAUCCCCACAAAGUGGGAAAUGCAGAAACAAGGCAACAAAAUGAUGCAGAUAACCAGUCUUGUCUUGUCAGGACUGUGAAAGGGGAUUUUAUGGCUAUAUAAUAUAUAUGUAUAGUAUGUGUAGUAUGUGACUUUGACAUGACAUUCUAUGUUAUCCUACGCUAUGGUAAACUAUGCCAUUUUCCAUUCUGUUCUGUUAUGCAAUGUUAUGCUAUACUACUAUGCAGUAUAAUGUUCUGAUAUAUUAUGUGCAAUAAUGUGCAAUGUAAGGCUAUGCUAUUUUAUGCUGUGUCAUCUAUACUCAAUCUUUAGUAAGAUGAGGGGCUGCAUUCAAUUAAACAGGAACUCUGAGGGGUUUAAAGUUGUUGGUGAAAGAAUUUAGAAAUACCUUUCAAACACUGUAUAGUGUGUGUUUUUAUCAUAUAUGCUCUAGUUACGCUUCUAUCGAAUCAAAUGAUAAAACA
Hippoglossus stenolepis (Pacific halibut) is the source of this 1045-nucleotide long non-coding RNA. RefSeq lists it as uncharacterized. NCBI's taxonomy places the organism in Eukaryota, Metazoa, Chordata, Actinopteri, Pleuronectiformes, Pleuronectidae. The transcript has 3 exons. The record is from RefSeq and is a predicted model, not a curated record.